GGGCGCAUAGCUCAGCGGUAGAGCACUACCUUGACAUGGUAGGGGUCACAGGUUCAAUCCCUGUUGUGCCCA
RNAcentral lists this transfer RNA (72 nucleotides) under Acetobacter oeni. It matches the Rfam family "tRNA". Rfam says of the family: Transfer RNA (tRNA) molecules are approximately 80 nucleotides in length. Their secondary structure includes four short double-helical elements and three loops (D, anti-codon, and T loops). RNAcentral also lists the same sequence under 1 other name. Lineage: Bacteria; Pseudomonadati; Pseudomonadota; Alphaproteobacteria; Acetobacterales; Acetobacteraceae. The record is from Rfam by way of RNAcentral.